GCUUUGACUCCUUUUAAUCCUCAAAUGGUAUUAGCCUCAUUUUGCAGUUUGAGGAAUGAGCUCAGAGAUGUUAAAGUGACAGGCCCAGAACUUGAAUCCACAUCUUCUAGUGACAAAUUCCUGUUUACUUCACUAUUACAUUGCUGUUUUUAAGCAGCUUUUUCCAGUGGGGACGUUGCUGUGGGGAAGAGAAGUCUUUGACCAAAGUGAUCAUCACCUGUAAUGUCCACCUGAUGCCACCAGGGUGUCCCAUGGUACUGUCUUUGAUUCAUGUUCUUAUCUGGGUUGCUGAGGGCUGUUUGAAAGCUGGUGUUAAUCUAGUUACAGCGGCCAUGGCCCAGAGCCCAGUAGCAAGAAAGUGGUGUGCCUAGCUCCCUGGUCUUCCAGUAUGCAGUGCACGGCCAGCAUCAGAGAGGCCCUUGCCCUCUUUGGACCCUUGCUGGUCAGGCUGGCCCCACGGGACAGCAGGUCAGACAGCAGCCUGGGCUUGGCUAGCCACUCUUUCUAGGCAGCAGCCUCAUGAAGAACAGUAGCAAAAAAGAAUCCUGUGAAUGAGUAAAUGUUUACAAACAUCAGCAUUUGUUUUGUUAGCAAAUUAGUGUUAGCAAAAUAGAUCUGAAAUUCAAAACCGGAUUGAACUGCUUUACCACUGUAGGUAGAAGAGUUUUAAAAGCCAAUGCAUGGUGACAUGGCACUUUCUAAUUUGGAAUAAUAGUCUGCAUUACACUCAGCCCUGAGCAUACAACCUCUUAGGCAUCAGUUUUGAUAUUCAGCAACCCUGGGUGACAAUCUUUAUCACUUAUGUGAGAAUCAAGGAGAUAAAGCCUCAUAUAGUAUCAGAGCAAGUAGCCCCUUUAAAAUUUUAUUUUCUUUCCAGUGCUCUUUAAGCACUUUGUGUAAGUGUCUAACUGUUCUAUAAUUAUUUCUUUUCAAGUUCUGAUUUCUCUACUGGAGGAGAUUCUUAAAGGUAUCCCAGUAGCUAGUAUAGUUCCUGGCAUUUAAUAGAUGCUUGGUAAGUAUUUGUUUACUGAAAUAGGAUAAUAGUUGUGGCAUAGUUCUACACAUGAGCCAUUUUUCCAAGGAGAGAGUCCACAUUAAGCUUUGUUUUUAAGCUGAUUAGAAUUCAUUAUGAACUGGAAAGUUAGUCCCUGGGGUGUCCUGGCUGGCCUUUCAAAAUCUUGACUAUGUCAUUCUAGGUUGGAAUUAGCACUGCCUGAAUUUGGGGCUGUAUCUGAACUGAUUCUCUUUAGAUACCAUCCAUGCAGUAUCUCUAGGACUGGGUGUUUACCAAGGUUCUUAGAGCAACCCGAAGAGACUAAAUGAAGCUUUCCUGAUUGGAGGUGUUGGACUUGUGGUGCCCUUUUCCCUCUCCCCUCCCUGUUUUCCCAGGUAAGUUUCCAUCCCAAAAUUCCUGUGGUUUUAAAGGAGAUCACUCUGGAAUAAAUCUCAAAAUCUGCCUCUAGUGGUCAAGAUUCCCUUUUAGUUUUCUCAGCUCUUCUCUGGUGAGAGGGCUAAUUGUGGGUUGUAGUACCAGCUUGGAUCCUUCCAUAUGCUUUGCUUAAGUCAUCAGAGUAACUCAUCUUUAGCUAAAUAAACUUGUGUAUAGAACAUAUAUAUGGGGCCUUCCUGAGGCUUCAUGAGUUUUGCUAUGUAUGCUCUGUAGAUGACUGGACAAACUACUUUAGGAAUAAAAGUUAUCAAUUCUGAUGCAGGUGAAAAUAUCUUGUCCCUGAGAAGCAUAACUAAGGCAUUUUUUAUCCCAAAUAAUCUAGUUUUAAUGAAUUGGUCUGAAGAUAUUCUUCCAUAAGAGAAGAAUAAAUAUAUUACGCCUUUUCCACCUAAAGUGUGAAUCACUUAAAGGCAGAAAUAAUUGUGAUCUCGACCUCCAGGGUUCUUGUUUCUGGGAUUGCCUUAUACCUGAUGCUCAGGGAGCAUUUUCAGUGGCUUGGACUGAGUACUUACUGUCUGAUCUCUGAGCAUUCACUGCUGGAUUAAAAGGGAGAGAAAGUGAAGUGAGAGGGUGGAGGGUGAGGAAGCUGAAAAAGUGAGAGGAAACAGCUGGGAACUGGGGAAAGGAGAGGUACUUACGUAAAGUCAGUAAAACAGAAAGCUAGCAGAGGACAGGGUCAGGCCUGAGGGUAGAGGGCUAAUUCUGUCGACCAGUUGAGUAGAUCCUUGUGUGCUUUGUUGCAGAGACUAAAGUUACUUCAAAGGAGAAAUCUCGAUUUUCUGAAUCUGACCUGUCCUUAUGUACUGUAGUAAAUUGUUCAAGUCAAAAUCUAUCCAGCCCUCUAGGAAUUCUGGGCCUCUUCAGGUCUAGCAAAGAGCUUGCUGCCACUGCUCAGGCUGCCACUGCUCAGCCAAGGGUGAAAUGCUUCAAGUAGUACUUGUGGGCUGCACCUAAGCUUGAUGUUUUAUUACACAGCUUAGGGAGUAAAUGCUGAGUACCACUGUUGUUCCUUUGUAGAGGUCUAACAACCAGCUUGCCAGGUUCCCUGCACCUGCUCAUAUGCCUGGACCAGAUGACUGACUGUAGAACUUUAGGCAGCUUCUAGUUCAGAGACUUCUCUGGGGGCUAAGAAACAUCUUUAGAGAAGCAAAUCCCUCUCCUGGAACGUUAGCCUGAUCUUAUGCUGGCCUUGUGUUGCCAUCUCUUGGCAUUGCUGUCUAGAAUGGAGCAGCCUUCCUAAAGCUUAAUCUAACUGGUCUUGUGAUGUCACAUCAGUGUCUUAGGUCACCACUGCUCACUUCCCUCACCCAGGGGACAUAAUGCAUAGGUUCCUCAACACCUGUUUCAUUAUUCUGUUUUCUUCACCACCAGGAAUGGAGGGAUCCUCAGUUGAAGAUCAAAUUGACCCAAUGAGGCUCUUUUUUUUUUUUUAUCUAGGCCAAUCAAAGGGAGAGGAAGGAGUACCAACUCAGAAAGAGGGAGCCAUAAAAUCUGCAGGUAUUAAUAUGCUAACUCUUUGGAGACUUCUGAGAAACAGAAUCCUAUCUGAACUCUGAACUAUCCUGAAGUCUGUUAUGAAGAAGAAAUUGAAGAGAUGUUUCUGUUGGAGUUUGGGCUGACUGGUUCCCUGAUGUGUUACCUGCUUCUGCCACUGAUCCAAACUCCAGAACUUCUCAGUCAUCCCCAAGGCCUCCAGGCAUAUCCAAUAGGGAAUCAACUCUCAAAGGAACCACACCAACGUUUUCCAGCCCCUUUAUUCUGCUGACUGAGGGAAGGAAAGAGUGGGAAGGGGAUAUACACGCGUGGUGGAUGGAAGGGAAACACAGACUGUCAGAUUACUAUACCUAUUCAGCUGCUUUUACUAACAGAACUUUGCAAUCAUACUUUUGUUGUAUAUGUAUCGGGGAAGUUGGAGAUAGUAACGUUGAUUAGAAUGUGACUUGAGAGGAAUAAAUGGAGGGGAUGAGAUAAGGGACUGUCGGUUGUGAAAGAUGUUGAAGUCUUGAAAUAAUGUGACCAUCUGAGGAAUUUUUUUUAAACCAGAGUUGAUAAAAAUAUCACUGAUAGAGCCUGCCCCCUCACUUCCCACCACAGACUACUUGGAUUGGAGGCACUUUUUUAAUAAUAGCUUGUCUCUGAUAUUCCCAGUAACUACCCGUAUGUGAGAAAAGAUAGAAAAUGUUCAGGUCAUCCUCAUAUAAAGUUCCAGUAGCAGUGACGCCUACACGGAAGACUUGGAACUGCAAACAGAGGCUGGGGUCACCACAGUGACAUCUGACGCUGUCCAACCAGAAGUUCGAGUUUUGUGUUGGGGGGUGAGGAAGCGGACUGUACUAAACUACUAAAUAAUUUCUUGUCUAUA
This is a non-coding RNA of Vicugna pacos (alpaca), 3812 nucleotides long. The record is from RefSeq and is a predicted model, not a curated record. NCBI's taxonomy places the organism in Eukaryota, Metazoa, Chordata, Mammalia, Artiodactyla, Camelidae.